Molecule: ribosomal RNA, 497 nt
Filed under: uncultured bacterium
Lineage: Bacteria
Description: partial 16S ribosomal RNA
Rfam family: Bacterial small subunit ribosomal RNA
Source: RNAcentral
GAUGAACGCUGGCGGCGUGCCUAAUACAUGCAAGUCGAGCGAACAGAUGAGGAGCUUGCUCCUCUGACGUUAGCGGCGGACGGGUGAGUAACACGUGGAUAACCUACCUAUAAGACUGGGAUAACUUCGGGAAACCGGAGCUAAUACCGGAUAAUAUAUUUAACCGCAUGGUUCAAUAGUGAAAGACGGUUUUGCUGUCACUUAUAGAUGGAUCCGCGCCGCAUUAGCUAGUUGGUAAGGUAACGGCUUACCAAGGCAACGAUGCGUAGCCGACCUGAGAGGGUGAUCGGCCACACUGGAACUGAGACACGGUCCAGACUCCUACGGGAGGCAGCAGUAGGGAAUCUUCCGCAAUGGGCGAAAUCCUGACGGAGCAACGCCGCGUGAGUGAUGAAGGUCUUCGGAUCUUAAAACUCUGUUAUUAGGGAAGACCAAAUGUGUAAGUAACUAUGCACGUCUUGACGGUACCUAAUCAGAAAGCCACGGCUAACUACGUG